Long non-coding RNA from Quercus lobata, 2939 nucleotides. RefSeq lists it as uncharacterized. The transcript is spliced from 2 exons. The record is from RefSeq and is a predicted model, not a curated record. Lineage: Eukaryota; Viridiplantae; Streptophyta; Magnoliopsida; Fagales; Fagaceae.
GAAACCACACAAGAAAAGCUCAGAUACAUGUCAUUGAGAACUAAUUAUACAAUGGAGUUCAGUGAGAAGAGAAAAUUACAUUGCAUGCGCACAAAUAGACCAUUUAAGAUUCUGCUUUAAUGAGAAAAUUUUUAAUUCUCAUUCAUAAGUCAAAGUUCCAAUUUCACAGGAAUGAAGGAGGGAGAGGACCUGUGGACUCAGAUUUAAUCUUACAGGAAAAUCAAAUGACCUACAAUACAGCAUUUUUCCUAAUUCAAAUUCCAGCAUCCUUCUGCCUUCGUGAAGGAACUAUGGUUACAAAUCUGAUGAGAUUAUUCUACAUCAGAUUAAGGAUAAAACUGUAGUUGUCUGAUGACUAUUUUUUCUUUGGUAAGUUAUGAACCCAGUGGGUCUUGAACCCACAACCUCAGAUUUACCUUGCUAUUACAAGUAGAAGAGGUAACAUUUGAGCUAGAGAUCAUUGGUGUGGUUAUCUGAUUGAAGAUAACCAUUUCUAUAACUUAACCAUCACAGCAUCCACACAAGGAAAGCUCAGAUAAUCAUCUUCUAAUUAUCUAAAGAGGACAGUAGUUUGAAACAAAAACCUACAUGUAUAUCCUCAUGGGAUUUCAUGUCAUGCAACCCACAGACAAAAAGCAACCUUACCAAUAUGCCCAAUAUGCCUGUUUUCUUCUAUUUUCAAAGAAAAAUUGGACUGAAGCUGGACCCUUUGGCUAAGGUAUGUUCUCUCAGUGUCACCAAACAUGACAACUAUGCCAGGAUCUAGAUCAAAAGCUAAGACAAUUAAUUUUCAUGAUCUAUAAUGAAGCCUCUAAGAAAGUCAGAGUGACAAUGGGUGCUCCCCGCCCCCCGGGGGGGGGUGUGGUGGGGGCUAGUUCUAGCUUGAUGAUGGAACCCAUCAUGUGAUUUUGAUUUUUUCCCCUUAUUAUAAAGAUGAGCAUUAAUUGUCACCCUCUUGUCAGUCAAAAACGAAUUCUAAAAAUCCCUGAGAAAGCAAAAUCAAACCAAUUGCCAUAGAGAGGCAACCUUUCAGGCAUAGAAGUUGUUCAUUCAGAAUUUUUCAGCUACAUGAUAAAUACUUAACCCCAAAAUAAAAUAAGUUUGCCAAGGAGUGGUGGUGACAUACUUGAUAUAUAAUACCUAACCCAAAAUAAAAGCAAAUCUUUUCUACUUAAUUAAAGCAUCAAAUGACAUACUUUAUACAUAAACAAACUUAAUUCUCUCUAUAAAUUCUCACAAUGGAGGAGAAACUUUUGGAUAACAAGACAGAGCCCAUGCCCUAUCUCCACUUACUACCAUAUGUCGCCUCCUUCAUGACUCAAACAAAUGGGCAACCCCAUCUUAUAUCCCCACCUGCAUCACAAUCUUCCAAACUUCAAAAGCAUCAAAAUAAUGGAGAUUUUUUGAGUCAGUUCAAAUACUGUAUGGGACACUAGACCCUGGUCUACCCAUACAUCAAGCACAAUUUCUGUUCCUAGUAUGCAAGUUCAAAUAUCAAAUAUAUUCUUCAUAUCCAUAUAUCCAUGUACAUCAAUUAUCCAGAUAUGACAAUUUAUAUCAACUUAAUAAAUCAUAUUUAUUGUUUCUUUUUUUUCCUGAAAACGUAGGGAACCUCUUUAAAGAAUAGCCCAUUGGACUCACCUCUAGCCAGUAAAACCAACAGGCCACACAACUCAAUUGCAGUGUGCAUUUAAGGAUUUGUGCUAAAUGCAUGUAGGGGAAAGCAUACAAAGUGCCUCAGUUUCAUUUCUUGUAGAAGAGCUGGAAUAAUAUACUACAAUUUGGGUCCAUUGGCAAAAGUUUAAGCUGAUGAAAUUAAAACAUGAAGGCAAAUUGAAGACAUUUUCUCCACCACAGAAGUUAAAUAGUUAAACUAUGAUACUUUCAGAGCAUAUUCAGUACCAUUAUAGGGGUAACCCCUUGAAAGUUAAACGUGCUUCUAAAACAUCAAAGGAAUUAUUGGAAAUAUGACAUUUUCAUUUCCCUUUCAAACAGUAGAAAGUAAUAAGUUAAAAAAAAAAUAUAUAUAUAUAUAUAUAUAUAUUUCUCUACUUUCCUGGCAGAAAAAGUUUUAACUCUUGCCAGUUGCUACACAUUCGCAAACAAGUCUUUUCAGAGCAAAACAUCUGAAAUGGAAGAAAUCUCCUAAGAGCAAAACGAAACAUGUACCAUAGGCAUUUAGAAAAAAAAAAUCUCAUGAUUCAUUUCCUCAAAGAAAGUGAAAAUACAUUCUUCUUCUUCUUCUUCUUUUCAAUUUCGUGAAAAAUAUUUCUAGUUCCAACAAAAUGAAAGUUUCCUUACAAGGGUUGCCUAUUUUAACAACGAGGGUUUUCUCCUUUCCAAGUCUAGCUAUGGUCACUGAGCAUAGAUAGACUGGAAAGGAAUUGCUCACCUAAGUCUCAACCUUCACAGCUCUGUCAUUCUUACUUUAUCUUAAUCAUCAGCAUGAGAGCUAACUAAACCCCUAGACUACACAACACAAUGUGCCCCACUGAUCCAAACAGAGUAUAGGCUCCACAAGAAUCAGAGAAUUCAACGCUUACUUACACAUGCAUGGGCAUAAUCACAAACAUAUACAGAUAUACUAUAACCAGGGUUCAAUGAAAAAUACAAAGUACAUUUACAAAACCAAAAAAAAACCUUCAUAGAAUCAAAUCCCAACAUCAUCAAGGGGCCUCCAGGGAAAAAUCUAAAUGUAAAAUCGAUAUCAAUUCUGAAAACCCAAUAUGCAAAACUCAAUUUUGCUUAUAUUAGUACAUGCUUUCAUGAUUCUAAUUAGUAAAGGUAAGAUAGAACUAAAACUAAAUAGCACCAAAAGAUGUACAGAAUCAAACAAAAUUAUAACCACAACAUAUAACAGUAACAUAUGAAUCAUUUCUUGUCAUGAAUUUAUAAACCCUAAAGCUCUGUUUGGUCACUCAGAAAAAAAAAAAAAAAAA